GGGGGUGACGACAGGCGCGUGUGUGGUGAGGGCGGCCCUGCACCUUGCCUGUCAGCUGUAUGGAGGUGCCCAAGCUCGCUGGAGGAAAACAAUGCUGACCAGUGGCCCGAAGGGAUUUUCCCGCAUCCACUGGGAAUGGGAAGGAUCCUGUCAAAAAUCCAAAGGGAAAUGAUACAACCAGGAAGCCUUGGUGCCCUUACAGGAAGAGAUGAGCCCGUUUCCCACGCUGUCAUCUGGAGUGAGGACACUCACAACCACGGUCACACACCCGGGAGCCCUGCCCGGUCUCACCUGCCCGACAUCCCUCGGGAGUCAGAGCAGAGGCGCAGGGGAGGGCUCCGGCCUCCAGAGCGUCGCCCUGCAGCCGCAGGGGAAGGGGCAGAAAUAAGCCACCUUCUCUCCAGAACGCUGCUGCUCAGGAAGCCGCUGGGGAAAGCACCUCUCUGAUCCGGCCCCGAGGGCAGCGCCUUCUUUCUGGCCUGCUGCGUCAAGGUUUUCUCAGCCGCACCCUCAUCCAAUCGAGAUGAGGUUGGCCCGGCACCGUGGCUCACGCCUGUAAUCCCAGCACUUCGGGAGGCCAAGGCGGACGGAUCACAAGUGAGGCAGUACUGAAAGAAUGUAGCAAGUGAGUUGAGCAAUUUCAGACAUUCAGACUGCGUCCGGAAUUGGUGGGUUCUUGGUCUCACUGACUUCAAGAAUGAAGCCAUGGACCCUCGCGGUGAGUAUUACAGCUCUUAAGGUGACACCUCUGGAGUUGUUCGUUCCUUCUGAUGUUUGGAUGUGUUUGGAGUUUCUUCCUUCUGGUGGGUUCGUGGUCUCGCUGGCUCAGGAGUGAAGCUGCAGACC
Long non-coding RNA from Symphalangus syndactylus (siamang), 846 nucleotides. RefSeq lists it as uncharacterized. The record is from RefSeq and is a predicted model, not a curated record. NCBI's taxonomy places the organism in Eukaryota, Metazoa, Chordata, Mammalia, Primates, Hylobatidae.